Leguminivora glycinivorella is the source of this 684-nucleotide long non-coding RNA. RefSeq lists it as uncharacterized. The transcript is spliced from 2 exons. NCBI's taxonomy places the organism in Eukaryota, Metazoa, Arthropoda, Insecta, Lepidoptera, Tortricidae. The record is from RefSeq and is a predicted model, not a curated record.
CGUAGUUACGUUACGUAACCUCGGUUACCUGUUAUUGAAAAAUAAUUCGUUAAUUAAAUGGCUUAUUUUAUUAUAAUCAUAUAAAUUUUAAAAAUGUAUGUACUAAAUAAUCGUACAUUAUUACUGUUUAUUUGUAACGGCUGUUGCUAUCUGCAUCGCGCUGUACUUUGACAACUCUUUCUUGUCAAACGUAUACCGGUUGGCCGCUUCCCUUCCCCCGCGGACCCUCUCUCCGCGCGGAGAUGCGCCUCAGCCGAGCGGUCAGUCAGAUUGAGCUAUCAGUCGCCGGCGCACGCUCGCUUGCCUUGCGCAGUGACUAUCGUGUGGCCGGCGACAAAUGAUUAAUAUUUUAAUAGAUAUCUGUAUCGUUUAAUAUCUUCAAAUGUAAAUGAGUAGUGUUUAAAUCCCCAAUUGGGGUGCUAUGGUACGGGUGAUCACCGGCCAUGAGACCACCAUCACGCUGACUCCAAGGACCUGGUGCUGACCCUGGCAGUCACGGCUGACGUUCUUCAGCACUCCGUCACUUCACCUACAUAGCGGAGCCAGGGAAGUACUAGCGUGUGGGCUACAGCUGCUUUCUUAAUCCGGGAGUAAAAUUAAUCAGACGGUUAACGGACUUUGACCCUUCGACGAUUGUUUCGAAUGCUUGCGACGGUUUAAGCGGAAUAAAUUUGUGAAGUGAGA